CCAGCAGGCCGCCUUAUCGCGUUCUAACCACAGAGCGAGGAAAGUCCGGACACCAGAGGGCAGCAUAGCGGGUAACGCCCGUCACUGCGGGAUGCAGAACCGCGGGAGGACAAGUGCAACAGAAAGUAUGUACAGGUAAUGCUGUAGUGAAACCAGGUAAACUCUAUGCGGUGAAAUGCCAUGUACACCGGCUAUAUGUAGGACGGCCCGUCCGAUGCCGGGGGGUAGGCAGAUAGAGCCAUUCAGUAAUGAAUGGUCCAGAUAAAUGAUAAGGGCCGCGUCGUUGACGGGCACAGAAUCCGGCUUACAGGCCUGCUUUAUUU
RNAcentral lists this RNase P RNA (323 nucleotides) under Flavobacterium album. RNAcentral's name for it is "Bacterial RNase P class A". It matches the Rfam family "Bacterial RNase P class A". From Rfam's summary of the family: Ribonuclease P (RNase P) is a ubiquitous endoribonuclease, found in archaea, bacteria and eukarya as well as chloroplasts and mitochondria. Its best characterised activity is the generation of mature 5'-ends of tRNAs by cleaving the 5'-leader elements of precursor-tRNAs. Lineage: Bacteria; Pseudomonadati; Bacteroidota; Flavobacteriia; Flavobacteriales; Flavobacteriaceae. The record is from Rfam by way of RNAcentral.